GGGAAAUAUAGGCAUGUCUGUCUAUUUCGUCAAAUAUCUCGCAAUGUGUAUAUUUUGAUUUUUUCGAGUCGGGUGUAACUGGUGUGGAAUGGCUAGCUAGUUAGCGACACAAAGGAAGUCAAAGCGGACACCUACGAAGAUGGCAUCUCAGAGAGUGAGCUGAUAAAGGGGUCGAAAAUGUAGAUAUUGCCAGAUGUUCACUGUCCAAGGAACAGGCCGUGGAAGCUUUAUUGCUGGCAAAAGUGUCCAUAUCCAGAGAUUUACACCACGUGAACACAGCCAUUUUCACUGGACUAUCUGUUGCUGCCAAGUCAUGAUUUCCCUGGGGGUUAGCCUUGCAAUAACCAAGUGCAUAAAGUACUCUGUAGCCACUUAGUGCGGACACCAGGUGAGACCACACACACACACACAAUAACAGUCUCUCUUCUUCACUUCAUCCCUCUCCCCCUUCUCCCUAAAUCCUCGAGGUUAUAUCAGCUGUUUUGGUGAAGCCCUCCUGCAUCUGAACUGGCUGACACAGAGGGCACAGCAUGAUCAUAAGUAUGUUUUGAUGUGAGGGAGGAAGCCAGUCCCGUCAUCGCCACCUCACCCACUCUUAAGAUAACCUUCGGGCCAACUGGGGCCCCAAGGCUGGUUAGGAGACAACGCAAUUGUGAUGAACUGAGAGAAUAUUAGGGUAGCACUGUAAUUCAUGAAUCAAAUGCGGUCUUCCACUGUUCUUAGCUCUUUCCCUUUCUGUCUUCUACACCUCUCUCCCCACCUCUCCUUUCUUCCUUUAUAAUGCAC
This 786-nucleotide long non-coding RNA is filed under the name Salmo salar (Atlantic salmon). RNAcentral's name for it is "lncRNA (ENSSSAG00000117457.1)". Lineage: Eukaryota; Metazoa; Chordata; Actinopteri; Salmoniformes; Salmonidae. The record is from RNAcentral.